This 205-nucleotide unclassified non-coding RNA is filed under the name Hevea brasiliensis (rubber tree). Lineage: Eukaryota; Viridiplantae; Streptophyta; Magnoliopsida; Malpighiales; Euphorbiaceae. The record is from RNAcentral.
UUAAUAGAUGGUUAUUAUCAUUAAUCAUUAAAAUUUGGGAAGUAGUACUAGAACUAAUUAAAAAAAUUAACUAAAUGGAGUCUAGCAGAGUAAAUGAAAUUAAUUGAGGGAAUAUACAUCAUAUUAGAUCGCAGAAUGUGUGAACCAAGGCUUAGAUAGUGAUCCCAAAAUAUGUUAAAGCCUAUCCUUAUUAUUUGAAGGAAAA